AACGUAGGAGGCGAGCGUUAUCCGGAUUUACUGGGCGUAAAGCGCAUGCAGGCGGUUUUCUAAGUCGGACGUGAAAGCUCCCGGCCCAACUGGGAGAGGCCGUUCGAAACUAGAAAACUUGAGGAUGGUAGAGGAGAGUGGAAUUCCCGGUGUAGUGGUGAAAUGCGUAGAUAUCGGGAGGAACACCAGUGGCGAAAGCGGCUCUCUGGGCCAUACCUGACGCUCAGAUGCGAAAGCUAGGGGAGAGAACGGGAUUAGAAACCCCGGUAUUCCUAGCCGUAAACGAUGUCAACUAGGCGUAGGAGGUUAUUGACCCCUUCUGUGCUGUAGCUAACGCAUUAAGUUGACCGCCUGGGGACUACGGCCGCAAGGCUAAAACUCAAAGGAAUUGACGGGGACCCGCACAAGCAGCGGAGCGUGUGGUUUAAUUCGAGGCUACGCGAAGAACCUUACCAGGGCUUGACAUAUAGCUGGUAGUGAGUCGAAAGAUGAACGACCCUUCGGGGAGGCUAUACAGGUGCUGCAUGGCUGUCGUCAGCUCGUGCCGUGAGGUGUUAGGUUAAGUCCUGUAACGAGCGCAACCCUCGUCGUUAGUUAUACGUGUCUAACGAGACUGCCGGUGAUAAGCCGGAGGAAGGUGGGGAUGACGUCAAGUCAGCAUGGCCUUUAUGUCCUGGGCUACACACACGCUACAAUGGCCGGUACAAUGGGUUGCCAAGCCGCGAGGCGGAGCCAAUCCCCCAAAGCCGGUCUCAGUUCGGAUUGCAGGCUGCAACUCGCCUGCAUGAAGUCGGAGUUGCUAGUAAACGCGCGUCAGCAACAGUGCGUUGAAUACGUUCCCGGGUCU
Molecule: ribosomal RNA, 847 nt
Filed under: uncultured bacterium
Lineage: Bacteria
Description: bacterial SSU rRNA
Rfam family: Bacterial small subunit ribosomal RNA
Source: RNAcentral